RNAcentral lists this ribosomal RNA (227 nucleotides) under uncultured Actinomycetales bacterium. RNAcentral's name for it is "partial 16S ribosomal RNA". It matches the Rfam family "Bacterial small subunit ribosomal RNA", at positions 104 to 334 of the family's 1533-position model. Lineage: Bacteria; Bacillati; Actinomycetota; Actinomycetes; Actinomycetales. The record is from RNAcentral.
GGGUGAGUAACACGUGGGUGAUCUGCCCUGCACUCUGGGAUAAGCCUGGGAAACUGGGUCUAAUACCGGAUAGGACCAUGCUUUAGUGUGUGUGGUGGAAAGCUUUUUCGGUGUAGGAUGAGCCCGCGGCCUAUCAGCUUGUUGGUGGGGUAAUGGCCUACCAAGGCGGUGACGGGUAGCCGGACUGAGAGGUUGGUCGGCCACAUUGGGACUGAGAUACGGCCCAG